GACGAACGCUGGCGGCGUGCCUAAUACAUGCAAGUUGAGCGAUGAAGAUUGGUGCUUGCCCCAAUUUGAAGAGCAGCGAACGGGUGAGUAACGCGUGGGGAAUCUGCCUUUGAGCGGGGGACAACAUUUGGAAACGAAUGCUAAUACCGCAUAACAACUUUAAACAUAAGUUUUAAGUUUGAAAGAUGCAAUUGCAUCACUCAAAGAUGAUCCCGCGUUGUAUUAGCUAGUUGGUGAGGUAAAGGCUCACCAAGGCGAUGAUACAUAGCCGACCUGAGAGGGUGAUCGGCCACAUUGGGACUGAGACACGGCCCAAACCCCUACGGGAGGCAGCAGUAGGGAAUCUUCGGCAAUGGACGAAAGUCUGACCGAGCAACGCCGCGUGAGUGAAGAAGGGUUUCGGAUCGUAAAACUCUGUUGGUAGAGAAGAACGUUGGUGAGAGUGGAAAGCUCAUCAAGUGACGGUAACUACCCAGAAAGGGACGGCUAACUACGUG
RNAcentral lists this ribosomal RNA (497 nucleotides) under uncultured bacterium. RNAcentral's name for it is "partial 16S ribosomal RNA". It matches the Rfam family "Bacterial small subunit ribosomal RNA", at positions 28 to 507 of the family's 1533-position model. The record is from RNAcentral.